GACGAACGCUGGCGGCGUGCUUAACACAUGCAAGUCGAACGGAAAGGCCCUGCUUUUGUGGGGUGCUCGAGUGGCGAACUGGUGAGUAACACGUGAGUAACCUGCCCUUGACUUUGGGAUAACUUCAGGAAACUGGGGCUAAUACCGGAUAGGAGCUCCUGCUGCAUGGUGGGGAUUGGAAAGUUUCGGCGGUUGGGGAUGGACUCGCGGCUUAUCAGCUUGUUGGUGGGGUAGUGGCUUACCAAGGCUUUGACGGGUAGCCGGCCUGAGAGGGUAACCGGCCACAUUGGGACUGAGAUACGGCCCAGACUCCUACGGGAGGCAGCAGUGGGGAAUAUUGCACAAUGGGCGGAAGCCUGAUGCAGCAACGCCGCGUGCGGGAUGACGGCCUUCGGGUUGUAAACCGCUUUCGCCUGUGACGAAGCGUGAGUGACGGUAAUGGGUAAAGAAGCACCGGCUAACUACGUG
RNAcentral lists this ribosomal RNA (468 nucleotides) under uncultured bacterium. RNAcentral describes it as "partial 16S ribosomal RNA". It matches the Rfam family "Bacterial small subunit ribosomal RNA", at positions 28 to 507 of the family's 1533-position model. The record is from RNAcentral.